Molecule: long non-coding RNA, 1423 nt
Organism: Tachysurus fulvidraco (yellow catfish)
Lineage: Eukaryota; Metazoa; Chordata; Actinopteri; Siluriformes; Bagridae
Exons: 6
Source: RefSeq, a predicted model, not a curated record
CUCUGUUUUGUGAUUGGUUCUCGUUCACCAUAUAUACUCUGUCUGUUCACUUCAAUGUUGUUGGUCGUUGUUGGUGUUGGUAUGUAGUGUGUUUUUGUUCGAUGUUCCCAUUGCCUGUUCGUUCUGUGUUCUGCCUUGUGUUGCCUGCCUGACUGUUUUUCUGUUUCGUGUAUUGGCCGAUUGAAACUCUAAAAACUGCAUUUGGAUCCUCACUCGCCUGUUGUCUCACCGUGUCACUCGUGACAUUGUGAGCCCUACACACCAUUAUUUACAUGAGGUUACCCCAGGUGUGCACCCUCUUCUCUGGCCCCAUCUACAACAGAACAAUUGUUCCUAUUGUCACAGGAGUGUGAACUAGACAGUCCCCGUCUUUCGGCAGGUGAAGUCGUGAAAAAUCGCCUGCACCGUGGAGAGGUGGAUGCUGCUCUGAGCAUUCUGGGUAAUAUGGACUGGUGCCUGAUGGGAGAAGACUGCUAUGAUUGUCUCGUCUUAGUGACUGAUCACCUGCUCAAUAAGCUCAGUUAGAAUAAGCUCUGGGGAUGUUCUACAAUCCGUCCAGAGCCUUAACAGACAGAGUCAUAAAGAUGUUCCGAGAACACAUCUGCCGCUGUGCACAGAAAGUCUUCCUUCACCUGCUUAGGUUGAGCGGUUCCUGAAUGGCUUGUGGGGUGGAAGAAAUAUCAAGCAGUGGUGGAGAAGCGGCUUACAGAUGGGGCGCGGCUGCCGGAUGAUUUUGAGGAUGAUGACCGUUAUAAAGUGUCAAAGCAGCUGUUUCAAUCACGGCAGAUAAAUGAAGAGCAGGAGCGGCACCUGGCAGAUACUCAACUUAAGCGGUGGUUGUCGGCGGCAACCAUGUGGUUGUCACCAAAAACCAGGUGGAUUUUCUUCAUGAAUAUGCUGCUGGGCGCCGCGACCAACGUCUUCGUGGAAGAGUUAGCCGUCAAAUUGCAGACAUGCUGCUUCAUCACCUUCGAAGUCCUCGUCGUCUUGUGCACUGCUUUAUUUUGCCUGGACGCGGAGGGGUGUUUUUCUCCUCUCUGCUCUGACUGCAGCGCGACGCUACUGAGAGACUUACCGCCUGUGAGUGCUUUUGGACUGGAGAGGGGCUCACGGCAGCACCCACUGCUCGUUGAGCACAGUAGGCCUAACUGCAGAGUGAUUCGUACUUUCGAGUCUCCAAACACCACAAAAGUCUCCAAAAACACCAGUAAAAGUCGCUGGAUUUGUCGCAUUUGACAAAAAAAAAAGUCACCAGGAGGAUGAUUUGUUGUGUUAUAAUCAGUGCUUGAAGUGGGGGGGAAAGCUGGCGGUACUCUCUUUGCAUUGGCAAAUCAUGACAUUUUUACCGUGAAAAACAAAACUUGGAGAUAUUGCUGUUACAACAAUUUGUUAUUUAUUAACAACAUAAAUGUAUUUAAACAUG